GGCGAAAGCCUGACGCAGCCACGCCGCGUGAGGGAUGAAGGCUCUAGGGUCGUAAACCUCUUUCAGCAGGGAAGAAAAUGACGGUACCUGCAGAAGAAGCUCCGGCCAACUACGUGCCAGCAGCCGCGGUAACACGUAGGGAGCGAGCGUUGUCCGGAUUUAUUGGGCGUAAAGAGCUCGUAGGCUGUUCAGUAAGUCAGGUGUGAAAACUCGAGGCUCAACCUCGAGACGCCACCUGAAACUGCUGUGACUAGAGUCCGGUAGGGGAGUGUGGAAUUCCUGGUGUAGCGGUGAAAUGCGCAGAUAUCAGGAGGAACACCAGCAGCGAAGGCGGCACUCUGGGCCGGUACUGACGCUCAGGAGCGAAAGCAUGGGGAGCGAACAGGAUUAGAUACCCUGGUAGUCCAUGCCGUAAACGUUGGGCACUAGGUGUGGGAUUUAACUAACAAAUUCCGUGCCGUAGCUAACGCAUUAAGUGCCCCGCCUGGGGAGUACGGCCGCAAGGCUAAAACUCAAAGGAAUUGACGGGGACCCGCACAAGCGGUGGAACAUGUGGUUUAAUUCGAUGCAACGCGAAGAACCUUACCUGGGUUUGACAUGUUCACGAAAGCUCUGUGAAAACAGAGCCCUCUGCGAGCUUGCUCAAAGACGUGAUCACAGGUGAUGCAUGGCUGUCGUCAGCUCGUGUCGUGAGAUGUUGGGUUAAGUCCCGCAACGAGCGCAACCCCUAUCCUUAGUUGCCAGCACAUUAUGGUGGGGACUCUAAGGAGACUGCCUGGGAUAACCAGGAGGAAGGUGGGGAUGAUGUCAAGUCAGUAUGUCCCUUAUGUCCAGGGCUACACACGUGUUACAAUGGUUGGUACAAUGGGUCGCUAAACCGCGAGGUGGAGCCAAUCCCCAAAAACCAACCCCAGUUCGGAUUGGAGUCUGCAACUCGACUCCAUGAAGCAGGAAUCGCUAGUAAUCGUGGAUCAGAACGCCACGGUGAAUACGUUCCCGGGUCUUGUACACACCGCCCGUCACGCCAUGGAAGUCAGUAGUACCCGAAUCGGGUGGCCUAACCUUAGGGAGGGAGCUGUCGAAGGUGGGAUUCGCGAUUGGGGUGAAGUCGUAACAAGGUAGCCGUACCGGAAGGUGCGGCUG
RNAcentral lists this ribosomal RNA (1143 nucleotides) under marine metagenome. Its description in RNAcentral is "bacterial SSU rRNA". It matches the Rfam family "Bacterial small subunit ribosomal RNA", at positions 374 to 1520 of the family's 1533-position model. The record is from RNAcentral.